This 719-nucleotide long non-coding RNA is filed under the name Scleropages formosus (Asian bonytongue). RNAcentral describes it as "lncRNA (ENSSFOG00015032355.1)". The record is from RNAcentral. Lineage: Eukaryota; Metazoa; Chordata; Actinopteri; Osteoglossiformes; Osteoglossidae.
CUCCUUUUCUCUAUGCCUUCCUGACUUUUCCAUGAUUUUUAUAGCAGCUGACCUUUGCCGUGACAGCACUUCUGCAUAAUUCGUUAUUGCAACAGUGAGAAGUCGUGUUUCACUGAAUUUAGAAAAGACAGCAUGAGAGACGAAUGGAAGGUGACGUAGCAGUGAACAAGACGAUGGCAGCGGCUGAAAAGACUGGAUUUGUAUUGUUUCUGCUGCUCAGCACCUCCAUGGGAAACGACACAAAGGAGUUCGCUGUGCAGUGUAGUGCUGGACAGACUCUCACUCAACCCUGUAAACACACCAUGUCCGACUGCUCCAUGGUCACAUGGAUAUUCAAUUCACCUUCUACUUCAGUCAUUGAACUAAUUUCUCACGGGAAGGUCAAAGACACACAGGGAUCUGGAAGACUGGCAGUGGGGCCUGACUGCUCUCUACUCAUCAAUAACCUGAACACUGAAGAUACUGGAUGGUACACCUGUCGACUGUAUCACAAUAGCAAUAAAUUCACUGAUUUUUCUCGUGUUUCCCUGUCCGUUCACAAAAAUUCCAGGACCGAGUCCAUCAGCUGUGUAGAGUCUCCAUCCAAUGUGACUCCUGCAGACAAUGCAGGCUUCCCGGUAGUCCCCGUAGCUCUAUCAUGUGUGGCUGUGUGUGUUGGAGUCUUUCUCACGAUAGUUAUAAUAUUGGUCUACAAGAGAAAACCAGGUGAGGGAGUGUGA